RNAcentral lists this ribosomal RNA (405 nucleotides) under uncultured Acetivibrio sp. Its description in RNAcentral is "bacterial SSU rRNA". It matches the Rfam family "Bacterial small subunit ribosomal RNA", at positions 505 to 908 of the family's 1533-position model. Lineage: Bacteria; Bacillati; Bacillota; Clostridia; Acetivibrionales; Acetivibrionaceae. The record is from RNAcentral.
GUGCCAGCCGCAGCGGUAAUACGUAGGUGGCGAGCGUUGUCCGGAUUUACUGGGUGUAAAGGGCGCGUAGGCGGGCUUGCAAGUCAGAUGUGAAAUACCGGGGCUUAACCCCGGGGCUGCAUUUGAAACUGUAAGUCUUGAGUGCCGGAGAGGAAAGCGGAAUUCCUAGUGUAGCGGUGAAAUGCGUAGAUAUUAGGAGGAACACCAGUGGCGAAGGCGGCUUUCUGGACGGUAACUGACGCUGAGGCGCGAAAGCGUGGGAGCAAACAGGAUUAGAUACCCUGGUAGUCCACGCCGUAAACGAUGGAUACUAGGUGUAGGAGGUAUCGACCCCUUCUGUGCCGCAAGUUAACACAAUAAGUAUCCCCACCUGGGAGUACGACCGCAAGGUUGAAACUCAAAGGA